Molecule: long non-coding RNA, 1960 nt
Organism: Trachemys scripta elegans
Lineage: Eukaryota; Metazoa; Chordata; Testudines; Emydidae
Exons: 3
Source: RefSeq, a predicted model, not a curated record
CCUGCCUGCCGCGCUGCCGCCGCAAUCGGAGCUGCUGCCCAGAGCCCCGGCCCUGACCCCCACUCAGCCCCGCCGAGGGAUCAGCCUCCCGCCUGCUGCCCCGGUUCCCUGCCGCGCCAACCCCUCUGCCAGGCUCCUUGCUGGAGCCCAGGGAAGAGGCCCUUGCUCCCGCCCCUAGGAGAAGGUUGAAUCUUUCCCUUUUCCCCUCUUCAGGAGCCCCGAAAGCCCCUUGCUCCCUCUGCAGCCGCGGGUGAGCCCCUUGCCUGCAGGGAAAGUGCAAAGUCAAACUCCCUGGUUCAGCCAGGGCCCUCCCCCCGGUGCAGUAACGCCUAAAUCUUCUAAUCUAGCGCUCUUUCUAGCUGGGGCUAUUAAACCCCUUCACAAAGGGGAGUAAACAUCAUUGGCUCCAUUUUACAGCUGAGGAAACUGAGGCACGGGAAAGUGCAAUGACUUUCCUGAACUUGUGUGUCCGGUCAGUGGUGGAGCCAGGAUUAGCACACAAGUCUCCUGGUUCCAGUCCAGUGCUCUUUGAAGUAGGUCACACAGGACAGGCUGAAAUGCCAGUGUGAUAUAUCUACUGUUCAUGCCUAGACUGCUGUGGGGUGGAGGAGGACAGAUUUGUGCUCACUCUUUAGGGAGCCCCUGACAAAUAUGGGUACCUUCUCCUUUACCACAGUCCUAACUGUGGCACCUUUCCCAUUCCCACUCCUCUGGCUCACAGAAAUAGAGCUGGAGGGAAGAACCCACCGAUUUUUGGCUGGGGGGAAGUUUUUUUGUUGUAACUUCAUUUACAUCAAAAUGAUACAUUUGGUCAAAGCAGGAAGCAUUACUUAAUGUCUGGUCCAUAUACACAGACCGUGGCAGGACACCUAACGGGAAUGGCCAUGCAGAUGGUGAUAAGGACAAGGGAUGGAUUCUCGCAACUUACAAGCUCAGACAAGAAGAAGAUGCAAUGCAGGGAGUUCCUGAUUUGUUUAAACCAGCGCUGCUGCUUUAUAAGCUUCAAGUGUUCAUGUUCUGUCAGAGACUUCCCAUAGAAAGCAGCUCUCAGCAGCCAGGAGGGUCCACUGCCAAUCACCAACUGCCUUGGAACCUUCUGGCUGCACUAUUCCAUCCCUUCCUGAUUAAAUAGAUCCCUGAUGCCCAGAGAAAGAGAAGUUACUUACAUUGUAGCAUCUAAAGUUCUCUGAGAUGUGCGGUCGCUGUCUAUAUUCCACUGGUGGAUGUGCAUGUGCUGUAGGAACCUGAGACUGGAAGAUUCUUACGUAGUAGUGUCUAUUAAUCUGCACCUACACCCUUCUCAUGUUGCGAACCAAGAGUAUAAGGGGCAACAUGGACAGACCGCUUCUCCAAUUCCUUCACCACCACGGACCAAGGCAGAUGAGAAGGAAGACAGGUAGCGGAAUACACACCUCAAAUCUCAUAAGGUCCUCAUAAGGACCACACACCUCAAAUUACUUCAGUUACUAUAAGGUUUGAUGUCCAUCCGAAUACCAACUGUGAAAUGGAGAGUGUGGGGGAUGUUGGACCUUGCCAUGUUCUGGGUCAAGGACUCUGGAAAGAACUGGAUGCUGACGGAUGGACAGAUUGACAGAAAAAGCAAUGAUGCAGAAAUGAAACCAGAGUAAUCAGCUCUGACAGGAAAAAGACAUUAAUAGGAGCAAGCAAUGAAAAAAUAAACUGGAGAUCUAAGUAAUGGCUAAUCAACCUAAGAGGAUUUACCUAAUUAAUCCUGUGUUGCAGAGCUAUCCAGAUUGCUUCUCAGUCUACUCCAUAUGUAACUAUUUGUUACUUACUGUUAGCUUUCUAGAAAGAAGUAAAACAUCUUGUAACCAGGAAGACUACAUUACGUAUUUUUGAACUGCUUUAUUAUUCUACCGCACAGGUAGUCCCCAAUACGGCUACUGUACAGUCAAAAUAUUUCCAGAAUUUCAAUAAUUUUGCAAUCAUUCUUAAUCAU